UACGAAGGGUGCAAGCGUUAGUCGGAAUUACUGGGCGUAAAGCGUGCGUAGGUGGUUUCUUAAGUCCGUUGUGAAAGCCCUGGGCUCAACCUGGGAACUGCAGUGGAUACUGAGAGGCUAGAGUGUGUCAGAGGAUGGUGGAAUUCCCGGUGUAGCGGUGAAAUGCGUAGAGAUCGGGAGGAACACCGGUGGCGAAGGCGGAUCUCUGGGCCUUGCCUGACGCUGAGGCGCGAAAGCUAGGGGAGCGAACAGG
RNAcentral lists this ribosomal RNA (253 nucleotides) under uncultured bacterium. Its description in RNAcentral is "partial 16S ribosomal RNA". It matches the Rfam family "Bacterial small subunit ribosomal RNA", at positions 524 to 776 of the family's 1533-position model. The record is from RNAcentral.